GAUGGCGCGUUUUUCCAGAUUAAAUUUCAUAAAUAAAGGUGUAUCGUCGCAGCACGCAACACUUCGAAAGUCCCGAGCGUGGUAUUGUUACCUACACAAGUCCACAUUUUCCAUUCGUCGAUCCUGGGGACACGUACAUCGAGCGUAUUGCGAAACGAAUUUUCGAUACUGAAAUAAGAGAGAAGAGAUGAAAUAAAUAAAAUGAACAAAUUGGUUACAAUAUGAAAAUAAAGGGUCGUGAUGAUCGUAGCUAUGAGUGAUUCUACAGGCCUUUUUCGCAACGGCUCCAGUGGCGCAAUUGGUUAGCGCACGGUACUUAUAAGACAGUGUUCGUGAGCAAUGCCGGGGUUAUCUUAUCAACGUCGAUGAGGUGCAAUCGGGAUGAAUCGUUUGGAUUCCUUCGAACAAAGACUCAUUUGGAAUAGAAACGUGACGUACAACGAAUGGUCUCGCAAACAUAUUCUAAAAAUGUGAAUCCACGUAGUAAAAGUCGUUAUAGAAAUAGUCUAUUCGAUUUGGUGUCUAACGGGAUUAGACCCUUCGCUGCUUAUGUAUUAAUCGACGAUGUCACAAAGCUUGUAAGUAAAUAAAUGGAUGAUAACGACAAAUAAACAUUUUCACGUUUAACGAUUGCAAA
Long non-coding RNA from Venturia canescens, 637 nucleotides. RefSeq lists it as uncharacterized. The transcript is spliced from 3 exons. Lineage: Eukaryota; Metazoa; Arthropoda; Insecta; Hymenoptera; Ichneumonidae. The record is from RefSeq and is a predicted model, not a curated record.